UUUAAUGAGAGUUUGAUCCUGGCUCAGGACGAACGCUGGCGGCGUGCCUAAUACAUGCAAGUAGAACGCUGAUGUUUGGUGUUUACACUAGACUGAUGAGUUGCGAACGGGUGAGUAACGCGUAGGUAACCUGCCUCAUAGCGGGGGAUAACUAUUGGAAACGAUAGCUAAUACCGCAUAAGAGUGAUUAACACAUGUUAGUUAUUUAAAAGGAGCAAUUGCUUCACUGUGAGAUGGA
Molecule: ribosomal RNA, 238 nt
Filed under: Streptococcus agalactiae GB00909
Lineage: Bacteria; Bacillati; Bacillota; Bacilli; Lactobacillales; Streptococcaceae
Description: partial 16S ribosomal RNA
Rfam family: Bacterial small subunit ribosomal RNA
Source: RNAcentral